RNAcentral lists this ribosomal RNA (536 nucleotides) under uncultured kinetoplastid. Its description in RNAcentral is "bacterial SSU rRNA". It matches the Rfam family "Eukaryotic small subunit ribosomal RNA", at positions 615 to 1026 of the family's 1831-position model. Lineage: Eukaryota; Euglenozoa; Kinetoplastea. The record is from RNAcentral.
GCUGUUAAGGGUUCGUAGUUGAAUUGGGGGUUGCCAUGGAAACGGCUCCGUCCUCUUCCCGUGAAGUGAGACCGCCGCUCAUGCAACUCGUGAGCAUCAGAAACAGAAUCCACGGGAUUGGACCUCCCAAAUUACGCAUGCAAUGUAUGCAGGGGGGCGCCCGUGAUACUUACUGUGCAAAAGAAGUGUGACCAAAGCAGUCAAACGACAUGAAUUAGAAAGCAUGGGAUAACAAAGGGCAGCCUACGGGCUACCGUUUCGGCUUUUGUUGGUUUUAAAGGUCUGUGGGAGACUAUGGCUUCCGUGCAAACGCGGUCAGGGCUUGCCCCCCGCCUUCUGUGCUGCCCACGUGUGGUCGUACAGACACGGCUGUCCAGGAAUGAGGGAGGGUCGUUCGGGGGAGAACGUACUUGACGUGAGAGGUGAAAUUCUUAGACCGUUCAAAGACGAACUACAGCGAAGGCAUUCUCCAGGAUACCUUCCUCAAUCAAGAACCAAAGUGUGGAGAUCGAAGAUGAUUAGAUACCAUUGUGUCC